This 497-nucleotide ribosomal RNA is filed under the name uncultured bacterium. RNAcentral describes it as "partial 16S ribosomal RNA". It matches the Rfam family "Bacterial small subunit ribosomal RNA", at positions 28 to 507 of the family's 1533-position model. The record is from RNAcentral.
GAUGAACGCUGGCGGCGUGCCUAAUACAUGCAAGUCGAGCGAACAGAUAAGGAGCUUGCUCCUUUGACGUUAGCGGCGGACGGGUGAGUAACACGUGGGUAACCUACCUAUAAGACUGGAAUAACUCCGGGAAACCGGGGCUAAUGCCGGAUAACAUUUAGAACCGCAUGGUUCUAAAGUGAAAGAUGGUUUUGCUAUCACUUAUAGAUGGACCCGCGCCGUAUUAGCUAGUUGGUAAGGUAACGGCUUACCAAGGCAACGAUACGUAGCCGACCUGAGAGGGUGAUCGCCCACACUGGAACUGAGACACGGUCCAGACUCCUACGGGAGGCAGCAGUAGGGAAUCUUCCGCAAUGGGCGAAAGCCUGACGGAGCAACGCCGCGUGAGUGAUGAAGGUCUUCGGAUCGUAAAACUCUGUUAUUAGGGAAGAACAAAUGUGUAAGUAACUGUGCACGUCUUGACGGUACCUAAUCAGAAAGCCACGGCUAACUACGUG